GCUCCUGUAGUGUAGUCCGGUCAAGCACUCGGGCUUCUCGAGCCUGUAACCCGGGUUCAAAUCCCGGCGGGAGCA
Molecule: transfer RNA, 75 nt
Filed under: Candidatus Woesearchaeota archaeon
Lineage: Archaea; Nanobdellati; Candidatus Woesearchaeota
Description: tRNA-Glu
Rfam family: tRNA
About the family: Transfer RNA (tRNA) molecules are approximately 80 nucleotides in length. Their secondary structure includes four short double-helical elements and three loops (D, anti-codon, and T loops).
Source: RNAcentral